This 429-nucleotide ribosomal RNA is filed under the name Chloroflexota bacterium. RNAcentral describes it as "Chloroflexi bacterium partial 16S ribosomal RNA". It matches the Rfam family "Bacterial small subunit ribosomal RNA", at positions 355 to 776 of the family's 1533-position model. Lineage: Bacteria; Bacillati; Chloroflexota. The record is from RNAcentral.
UGGGGAAUAUUGCACAAUGGGCGCAAGCCUGAUGCAGCCAUGCCGCGUGUAUGAAGAAGGUUUUCGGAUCGUAAAACUCUGUUGUUAGAGAAGAACAAGGACGUUAGUAACUGAACGUCCCCUGACGGUAUCUAACCAGAAAGCCACGGCUAACUACGUGCCAGCAGCCGCGGUAAUACGUAGGUGGCAAGCGUUGUCCGGAUUUAUUGGGCGUAAAGCGAGCGCAGGCGGUUUCUUAAGUCUGAUGUGAAAGCCCCCGGCUCAACCGGGGAGGGUCAUUGGAAACUGGGAGACUUGAGUGCAGAAGAGGAGAGUGGAAUUCCAUGUGUAGCGGUGAAAUGCGUAGAUAUAUGGAGGAACACCAGUGGCGAAGGCGGCUCUCUGGUCUGUAACUGACGCUCAGGUGCGAAAGCGUGGGGAGCAAACAGG